UCAGAUCCAGACGACUUUUGGCCUGAUCUUCGUGCUACGUUCUCUGGAAGAUCUCACGCUCAUAGUCCUGUUCUGAACUAUCCAGAGGACAGGGAACAAGCCUUAGCCUUAAGCAGCACCAAAUCUACCAUUGGAGCCGUCCCGACCGCUCUGCUCAUCUCCACCAUCUUCACCUUCCUAAUGGCUGCCAUCGUAGCUGUUUGGUACUUCAAAACGUAAGUGAUGAGCUUUGAAUCAGACUUGAAUUAGAUAAAUGUGCAUUAGUAUCUCUGAUACUGUGGGGAAGUUUCUCAGACAGGGAUUAAACCAAGUGUUAGACUAUACUUUCCUUCACUGGAAAAACUCAAUUUAAAAUUCUGUGCAGUCCCCAUUCAAGGGCCCCAUUUUAGCAAUCUUUAGGCAUGUCAGUGUGUCUUUGCUAUCGUAACGAUGGGAAAAGUACACAUUACGCGGCUCGAAACACUUAAAAGGCAUGUACUUAUUCUCUUAAUUAAUCAUGGAUGUGAUUAAUUAACGUGAAAUAAACCAAUCAGUGCAUCGCCUGCA
Molecule: long non-coding RNA, 546 nt
Filed under: Astyanax mexicanus (Mexican tetra)
Lineage: Eukaryota; Metazoa; Chordata; Actinopteri; Characiformes; Acestrorhamphidae
Description: lncRNA (ENSAMXG00005007750.1)
Source: RNAcentral